GACGAACGCUGGCGGCGUGCCUAAUACAUGCAAGUCGAACGCAUUUUCUUUCACCGUAGCUUGCUACACCGAAAGAAAAUGAGUGGCGAACGGGUGAGUAACACGUGGGUAACCUGCCCAUCAGCGGGGGAUAACACUUGGAAACAGGUGCUAAUACCGCAUAAUUCCAUUUACCGCAUGGUAGAUGGGUGAAAGGCGCUUUUGCGUCACUGAUGGAUGGACCCGCGGUGCAUUAGCUAGUUGGUGGGGUAACGGCCUACCAAGGCUGCGAUGCAUAGCCGACCUGAGAGGGUGAUCGGCCACACUGGGACUGAGACACGGCCCAGACUCCUACGGGAGGCAGCAGUAGGGAAUCUUCGGCAAUGGACGCAAGUCUGACCGAGCAACGCCGCGUGAGUGAAGAAGGGUGUCGGAUCGUAAAACUCUGUUGUUAGAGAAGAACAAGGAUGAGAGUGGAAAGUUCAUCCCUUGACGGUAGCUAACCAGAAAGCCACGGCUAACUACGUG
This 507-nucleotide ribosomal RNA is filed under the name uncultured bacterium. RNAcentral describes it as "partial 16S ribosomal RNA". It matches the Rfam family "Bacterial small subunit ribosomal RNA", at positions 28 to 507 of the family's 1533-position model. The record is from RNAcentral.